RNAcentral lists this ribosomal RNA (954 nucleotides) under Promicromonospora sp. Its description in RNAcentral is "bacterial SSU rRNA". It matches the Rfam family "Bacterial small subunit ribosomal RNA", at positions 428 to 1392 of the family's 1533-position model. The record is from RNAcentral. Lineage: Bacteria; Bacillati; Actinomycetota; Actinomycetes; Micrococcales; Promicromonosporaceae.
AACCUCUUUCAGCAGGGAAGAAGCGCAAGUGACGGUACCUGCAGAAGAAGCGCCGGCUAACUACGUGCCAGCAGCCGCGGUAAUACGUAGGGCGCAAGCGUUGUCCGGAAUUAUUGGGCGUAAAGAGCUCGUAGGCGGUCUGUCGCGUCUGGUGUGAAAUCCCGAGGCUCAACCUCGGGCUUGCAUCGGGUACGGGCAGACUAGAGUGCGGUAGGGGAGACUGGAAUUCCUGGUGUAGCGGUGGAAUGCGCAGAUAUCAGGAGGAACACCGAUGGCGAAGGCAGGUCUCUGGGCCGCAACUGACGCUGAGGAGCGAAAGCAUGGGGAGCGAACAGGAUUAGAUACCCUGGUAGUCCAUGCCGUAAACGUUGGGCACUAGGUGUGGGGCUCAUUCCACGAGUUCCGUGCCGCAGCUAACGCAUUAAGUGCCCCGCCUGGGGAGUACGGCCGCAAGGCUAAAACUCAAAGGAAUUGACGGGGGCCCGCACAAGCGGCGGAGCAUGCGGAUUAAUUCGAUGCAACGCGAAGAACCUUACCAAGGCUUGACAUGUACGAGAAAGCCCCCGAGAAGGGGUUCUCUUUGGACACUCGUACACAGGUGGUGCAUGGUUGUCGUCAGCUCGUGUCGUGAGAUGUUGGGUUAAGUCCCGCAACGAGCGCAACCCUCGUCCUAUGUUGCCAGCGGGUUAUGCCGGGGACUCAUGGGAGACUGCCGGGGUCAACUCGGAGGAAGGUGGGGAUGACGUCAAAUCAUCAUGCCCCUUAUGUCUUGGGCUUCACGCAUGCUACAAUGGCCGGUACAGAGGGCUGCGAUACCGUAAGGUGGAGCGAAUCCCAAAAAGCCGGUCUCAGUUCGGAUUGGGGUCUGCAACUCGACCCCAUGAAGUCGGAGUCGCUAGUAAUCGCAGAUCAGCAACGCUGCGGUGAAUACGUUCCCGGGCCUUGUACACACCG